This 86-nucleotide transfer RNA is filed under the name Anaeromicropila herbilytica. RNAcentral describes it as "Lachnospiraceae bacterium TB5 tRNA-Leu". It matches the Rfam family "tRNA". Rfam says of the family: Transfer RNA (tRNA) molecules are approximately 80 nucleotides in length. Their secondary structure includes four short double-helical elements and three loops (D, anti-codon, and T loops). Lineage: Bacteria; Bacillati; Bacillota; Clostridia; Lachnospirales; Lachnospiraceae. The record is from RNAcentral.
UGCGAGAAUGGUGAAAUUGGCAUACACGCAGGCUUCAGGUGCCUGUUUUCGAAGGAAAAUGGGGGUUCGAGUCCCCUUUCUCGCAG